UCGAGGUCAUCCCCACCUAAUGAAAUAUAAAAAGUAAAAAUAAAAUUACUACUCUACGCUUCCUUAAAGUGUUCCAUCUCUGGUCUUCAAAUACAACUACUUCGGGGCAUAGCUCGGAUAAAAAUAUAUACAAGUUUCUCGGGGCAUUCCUCGGAUAUAUUCAACUAAAGGAACGACCCUUCACCUCGAAAGAAAUAAUAAGACCUAAAGCUUGCCUACCCAAAUGUAGUCGGCCUAAAUAUGCUACUAGUGAUUAAAGUAAUAAAGUAGCGUACAUGUAAUAUUCAAAUUUUGUGUAAUAUUCAAAUUUUAAUUCUUGUCCCUCAAGUUCCGAUCUCACAUCCAUUAAUAGAAAAAAAUCAAACUAGAAGAUUAAUCAAAAUAGUGUCGUCUUCAAUUUCAAAUUUUAACUAAACCCAUAAACCAAAUCCAAUUCAUUCUUAUGUUCUCAAUCAAAGAAUAAGUAAUUCAAGAUCACAACAACUAUUCUUCCAAGAACAUAUAAACAUAUAAACUAAGCCACAAAAUCAAAUUGCACAGUCAAGCAAUCUACAUCAAAGUUAUGACAUAAAAAUGCACAAGAAAAAGAAAGAAAGAGAAUUAGACCUUUAAUUAUAAUUUUCUUCUCGAAAAUUGGAUUGAAUCCAAACUGAAUCGGGAAUAAGAAAAUUCGACCAAGAUCAACGAACUGAAACUCGUGGGCAACCUCAAAUCCGACCUCUUUGACGCGAUCAAAAUAAGACAAGCGGGUGAUCUCGACGGUGACUAGCGAAACUCAGCUAACUAAACUCCAUUUGACGACCAAAAACUAGAUUUUUUAUACCAUUAAAGUUGACUGUGAUUUGGAGUUGAGGGGUGGUCUCGCUGGUGGGGAAACGGCUGUUGUAGCUCGUUUUCCGUCGAGCUAGGUGGCGGGUUUCUAUUUUUUUGGAGAUGGAAGGUUGGACGAUGGGAGGGGCUGGUUCAUCAUUGGUAGAAGGUGGGGUUCUGGUUGUUGGUGGUCGUGAGUCGACGGGUUUCGGGGUGGACUUGGGCGUUAAUGGUGUUCCGGCGAGUACGGAGCAGCGGCAUUGGUGUUCAGCGGCUUCUAUGGUGGAGCCCCGGCGGGUUUUGGUUGAAGAUGGGGGGUGGAUGGCGGCUGUUUCUCUUGAUUGAUUAGAGUUCCAUUGUUGUAUAUAUAUAUGAAGAAGAAGGUAUGAUUAGGGUGUGGGUUUUAGAGGAAUGGGAAGUGGGCUAGGUCUUCUUGGACUUCAAAAUUGGGCUCUAAAAUUUAUAAAAUUGGGCCAAAAGCAAGCUGGA
RNAcentral lists this long non-coding RNA (1299 nucleotides) under Nicotiana benthamiana. RNAcentral's name for it is "long non-coding RNA (NBEN_LNC040391)". The record is from RNAcentral. Lineage: Eukaryota; Viridiplantae; Streptophyta; Magnoliopsida; Solanales; Solanaceae.